AGACAAAUUUAUUUUUUUAUACAAACAAAAAAAUAAAAUGUUGAAUAAUUUAGCAUAGAAUAUUGAAAUAAGAUUUGAAAGAUAAAUAUUUUGGUAAUUAUAAAUUUAAAUAAUGAUAAAUAGGAAUAGUUGGGGGUAUUUGUAUUGAAUAGUCAGAGGUGAAAUUCAAGGAUUUGUUCAAGACAAACAUCAGCGAAAGCAUUUACCAAAGAUAUUUCCAUUAAUCAAGAACGAAAGUUAGGGGAUCGAAGAUGAUCAGAUACCGUCGUAGUCCUAACCAUAAAACAAUACCAACCAAAGAUAAGAGGUUGAAACAAGAGAUAUAAAAAUUGUUUUUUUUAUAUCAAGAAAACUCCUUUUGAAUUUUUGAGGGAAACCAUUGAGUAUUUGGGUUCUGGGGGGAG
RNAcentral lists this ribosomal RNA (404 nucleotides) under uncultured eukaryote. RNAcentral describes it as "partial 18S ribosomal RNA". It matches the Rfam family "Eukaryotic small subunit ribosomal RNA", at positions 760 to 1123 of the family's 1831-position model. The record is from RNAcentral.